UUUUUUUUGUGAAAAUACUGAAAUAAAAACGCGCAAAACUUUCCAGAACUAUAAAUCAUUUUGAAUCCACUGCUUGAUCCUUCAAAAUUUUAAUUUUGCUCUCUAAUAUUUCAAUUUAUUUGAUUGUAACCGAUCAACGACAACUACAGCUUGAUUUCAAAAUUUAAGCUAAUUGUUUACUUUAAUAAUUUUUUAGUUUUAAAAAUUGUAUAAAGUAUACUAGUUAAAUUUGUAAAUAUAAAUGAUAUAUUCAAAAUUUAAAGUUAAAGUAUUAUUAAUUGACUCAAAUUAAAUAUAUUUAAAAAAUUAGAUUAGUAAAAUUAAAAUUUUAAAAGAUAGGAUCGUGAAUUUAAAAUGAU
RNAcentral lists this long non-coding RNA (359 nucleotides) under Ananas comosus (pineapple). RNAcentral describes it as "long non-coding RNA (ACOM_LNC015715)". Lineage: Eukaryota; Viridiplantae; Streptophyta; Magnoliopsida; Poales; Bromeliaceae. The record is from RNAcentral.